CCUACGGGAGGCAGCAGUGGGGAAUAUUGCACAAUGGGCGCAAGCCUGAUGCAGCGACGCCGCGUGAGGGAUGACGGCCUUCGGGUUGUAAACCUCUUUCNCUAGGGACGAAGCGUAAGUGACGGUACCUGGAGAAGAAGCACCGGCCAACUACGUGCCAGCAGCCGCGGUAAUACGUAGGGUGCGAGCGUUGUCCGGAAUUACUGGGCGUAAAGAGCUCGUAGGCGGUUUGUCGCGUCGUCUGUGAAAUUCUGCAACUCAAUUGCAGGCGUGCAGGCGAUACGGGCAGACUUGAGUACUACAGGGGAGACUGGAAUUCCUGGUGUAGCGGUGAAAUGCGCAGAUAUCAGGAGGAACACCGGUGGCGAAGGCGGGUCUCUGGGUAGUAACUGACGCUGAGGAGCGAAAGCGUGGGGAGCGAACAGGAUUAGAUACCCUGGUAGUCCACGCCGUAAACGGUGGGUACUAGGUGUGGGGCUCAUUUCACGAGUUCCGUGCCGUAGCUAACGCAUUAAGUACCCCGNNNNNNNNNNNNNNNNU
This 540-nucleotide ribosomal RNA is filed under the name Bacteroidetes bacterium enrichment culture clone EAMFC7. RNAcentral's name for it is "partial 16S ribosomal RNA". It matches the Rfam family "Bacterial small subunit ribosomal RNA", at positions 338 to 873 of the family's 1533-position model. The record is from RNAcentral. Lineage: Bacteria; Pseudomonadati; Bacteroidota.